This 944-nucleotide long non-coding RNA is filed under the name Capsicum annuum. RNAcentral describes it as "long non-coding RNA (CANN_LNC010021)". Lineage: Eukaryota; Viridiplantae; Streptophyta; Magnoliopsida; Solanales; Solanaceae. The record is from RNAcentral.
CUAUUGAAAAUAUUACGACACUAAUUUGAGUUGUCUCAAUUAACGGUUUGAUCAUUAUUGAGUUUAACUUUCUCCAAUCAAUAACCCCAUUAAUGACUUAAAUUACUUUUGAACACCACAAGAAUUGGUACUUCUCAUCCCGUGCAUCAUAAUCCACGUAUACAAACUGCAGAGAGCGCUAAAAUAGAGAAGAUGAGAAAAUUUCAUAAAACGAUUGGGAGGGUCAUUACAUCAGAUACCAAUUAAAAAACCGUUCAUCCCCGAACGGGAAAACAAAAGACAAUGAGGGAAAACAAGAAAUUACUAAAAUCAUCAAAAAGAUAUGGAUACUUUCUAUGCAUAUCUUCUUCGGUGUAACAAGUGGCCUCCUUAAUAGGACGGUUCAUCUAAUUGACCUUCACAGACAUAAUAUCCUUAGUCCUUAACUUACAGACAACCAAAUACCUAGCCGAGCCUAUGCGUACCCUCACCGCCCCUGAUUCAGAAGGUUCAAUUAGCAUAUAACAACACAAGGCAUAUUCUUCACCCAUAUAUAUAUAUAUAUAUAUAUAUGCAACUGUUCUAUACCGGCUGAUAAAUAUAGGUGCAUACUGGUGAUAGGAGAUGAGCAUGCAAGAAUGAAUGCAAAGUACAAAAUUAAUAUCACAACUUAUCAUAACUGUCCUCAAUAGGACUAUCAUCAUUGUAAUCAUUCUUUGGCUUGCCGGAUAUCAACACAUCAUCAAUAGUAUCAUCCGGCCUUGCCGGGUAUCAACAUAUCAUAAGUAUAUCUUCCGUCCUUGCCGAGUAUCAACAUCAUCACAACAGUAUCCACCAGCCCUGCCAGCUAUUAACAUAUUAUCAUAAUAGUCAUUACUGAAUAACAUACACUAAAAUACUCAUAAAAAUAGUCAUAUCACCAUAUAAUAUCUAUUUAAUCAAUAUUUCUCAACUACUCGUUAUUA